This 460-nucleotide ribosomal RNA is filed under the name uncultured bacterium. RNAcentral's name for it is "partial 16S ribosomal RNA". It matches the Rfam family "Bacterial small subunit ribosomal RNA", at positions 338 to 795 of the family's 1533-position model. The record is from RNAcentral.
CCUACGGGAGACAGCAGUGAGGAAUAUUGGUCAAUGGACGAGAGUCUGAACCAGCCAAGUAGCGUGAAGGAUGACUGCCCUAUGGGUUGUAAACUUCUUUUAUAUGGGAAUAAAAUGUUCCACGUGUGGGAUUUUGUAUGUACCAUAUGAAUAAGGAUCGGCUAACUCCGUGCCAGCAGCCGCGGUAAUACGGAGGAUCCGAGCGUUAUCCGGAUUUAUUGGGUUUAAAGGGAGCGUAGGUGGAUUGUUAAGUCAGUUGUGAAAGUUUGCGGCUCAACCGUAAAAUUGCAGUUGAAACUGGCAGUCUUGAGUACAGUAGAGGUGGGCGGAAUUCGUGGUGUAGCGGUGAAAUGCUUAGAUAUCACGAAGAACUCCGAUUGCGAAGGCAGUUCACUGGACUGCAACUGACACUGAGGCUCGAAAGUGUGGGUAUCAAACAGGAUUAGAUACCCCUGUAGUU